CAAUAGCGUAUAUUAAAGUUGUUGCAGUUAAAAAGCUCGUAGUUGAAUUUCGGGUCCCCGCGCUCGGCGCUUCAUUGUGCCGUCGUGGUGUCCCUCCUCGCCGUAAGGCGUCCUUUACUGUGAAAAAAUUAGAGUGUUCAAAGCAGGCAAUCGCUUGAAUACAUUAGCAUGGAAUAAUAAGAUAGGAUCUUGUCUAUUUUGUUGGUUGCGGACAACGAUAAUGAUUAAUAGGGAUAGUUGGGGGUGUCCGUAUUGAGCUGUCAGAGGUGAAAUUCUUGGAUUUGCUCAAGACGAACUACUGCGAAAGCAUUCACCAAGGAUGUGUUCAUUAA
RNAcentral lists this ribosomal RNA (332 nucleotides) under uncultured eukaryote. Its description in RNAcentral is "partial 18S ribosomal RNA". It matches the Rfam family "Eukaryotic small subunit ribosomal RNA", at positions 592 to 976 of the family's 1831-position model. The record is from RNAcentral.